This 352-nucleotide ribosomal RNA is filed under the name uncultured Pseudomonas sp. RNAcentral describes it as "bacterial SSU rRNA". It matches the Rfam family "Bacterial small subunit ribosomal RNA", at positions 1031 to 1382 of the family's 1533-position model. The record is from RNAcentral. Lineage: Bacteria; Pseudomonadati; Pseudomonadota; Gammaproteobacteria; Pseudomonadales; Pseudomonadaceae.
GACACAGGUGCUGCAUGGCUGUUGUCAGCUCGUGUCGUGAGAUGUUGGGUUAAGUCCCGUAACGAGCGCAACCCUUGUCCUUAGUUACCAGCACGUUAUGGUGGGCACUCUAAGGAGACUGCCGGUGACAAACCGGAGGAAGGUGGGGAUGACGUCAAGUCAUCAUGGCCCUUACGGCCUGGGCUACACACGUGCUACAAUGGUCGGUACAAAGGGUUGCCAAGCCGCGAGGUGGAGCUAAUCCCAUAAAACCGAUCGUAGUCCGGAUCGCAGUCUGCAACUCGACUGCGUGAAGUCGGAAUCGCUAGUAAUCGUGAAUCAGAAUGUCACGGUGAAUACGUUCCCGGGCCUU